AGGAUAGUAGUUUUAAAAAAAACAUUUAAUUUGCAUUUAAAAAUUACCUUGAUUGGGUUUAUCUUA
This 66-nucleotide transfer RNA is filed under the name Orthotomicus laricis. RNAcentral describes it as "tRNA-Ala". Lineage: Eukaryota; Metazoa; Arthropoda; Insecta; Coleoptera; Curculionidae. The record is from RNAcentral.